This 497-nucleotide ribosomal RNA is filed under the name uncultured bacterium. RNAcentral describes it as "partial 16S ribosomal RNA". It matches the Rfam family "Bacterial small subunit ribosomal RNA", at positions 28 to 507 of the family's 1533-position model. The record is from RNAcentral.
GAUGAACGCUGGCGGCGUGCCUAAUACAUGCAAGUCGAGCGAACGGACGAGAAGCUUGCUUCUCUGAUGUUAGCGGCGGACGGGCGAGUAACACGUGGAUAACCUACCUAUAAGACUGGGAUAACUUCGGGAAACCGGAGCUAAUACCGGAUAAUAUUUUGCACCGCAUGGUUCAAAAGUGAAAGACGGUCUUGCUGUCACUUAUAGAUGGAUCCGCGCUGCAUUAGCUAGUUGGUAAGGUAACGGCUUACCAAGGCAACGAUGCAUAGCCGACCUGAGAGGGUGAUCGGCCACACUGGAACUGAGACACGGUCCAGACUCCUACGGGAGGCAGCAGUAGGGAAUCUUCCGCAAUGGGCGGAAGCCUGACGGAGCAACGCCGCGUGAGUGAUGAAGGUCUUCGGAUCGUAAAACUCUGUUAUUAGGGAAGAACAUAUGUGUAAGUAACUGUGCACAUCUUGACGGUACCUAAUCAGAAAGCCACGGCUAACUACGUG